UAAGCCAGAUCCUGGAGAAGAAAGAAU
This 27-nucleotide non-coding RNA is filed under the name Rattus norvegicus (Norway rat). The record is from RNAcentral. Lineage: Eukaryota; Metazoa; Chordata; Mammalia; Rodentia; Muridae.